UACGUAGGCAGCAAGCGUUGUUCGGAAUUACUGGGCGUAAGGAGUGUGUAGGCGGUGCUCCAAGUCUGGUGUGAAAUCUCCCGGCUUAACUGGGAGGGUGCAUUAGAAACUGGAAUGCUAGAGGAUGGGAGAGGUAAGCGGAAUUCCUGGUGUAGCGGUGAAAUGCGUAGAUAUCAGGAGGAACACCUGUGGCGAAGGCGGCUCUCUGGGACGGUACUGACGCUGAGACGCGAAAGCGUGGGGAGCGAACAGG
RNAcentral lists this ribosomal RNA (253 nucleotides) under uncultured bacterium. RNAcentral's name for it is "partial 16S ribosomal RNA". It matches the Rfam family "Bacterial small subunit ribosomal RNA", at positions 524 to 776 of the family's 1533-position model. The record is from RNAcentral.